AAUGAUUCAAUGCUCCCUCCCUCUGGAGCACCUUCUGCUUAUGUUCCACUUGAUGAGUAUAAAAGAAACAUGACAAUCAUUGGCCAGCAUCUUAAGGUAAUUACUCAUUGUUAUGUAUAAUUUUAGAUUGAUUAUUAUAUAUAAUUUUUUUUUUAUAAUUUAUCGAUGUGGUAUGUGAAACAGUGCCUUUCAAAAGAGACUCGCGUUAUCUUUCUGAGUGUCCCUCCUGUCAAUGAAGAAAUGAUCCAUGAAUUUUA
This 257-nucleotide long non-coding RNA is filed under the name Manihot esculenta (cassava). RNAcentral describes it as "long non-coding RNA (MESC_LNC005611)". The record is from RNAcentral. Lineage: Eukaryota; Viridiplantae; Streptophyta; Magnoliopsida; Malpighiales; Euphorbiaceae.